CAGAGGGUGCAAGCGUUAAUCGGAAUUACUGGGCGUAAAGCGCGCGUAGGUGGUUGUGUAAGUUGGAUGUGAAAGCCCCGGGCUUAACCUGGGAACUGCAUUCAAAACUGCACGGCUAGAGUACGGGAGAGGGGGGUAGAAUUCCAGGUGUAGCGGUGAAAUGCGUAGAGAUCUGGAGGAAUACCGAUGGCGAAGGCAGCCCCCUGGCCUGAUACUGACACUGAGGUGCGAAAGCAUGGGGAGCAAACAGGAUUAGAUACCCUGGUAGUCCAUGCCGUAAACGAUGUCAACUAGGUGUUGGGGAACUUGAUUCCUUAGUGCCGCAGCUAACGCAUUAAGUUGACCGCCUGGGGAGUACGGCCGCAAGGUUA
RNAcentral lists this ribosomal RNA (371 nucleotides) under uncultured organism. RNAcentral's name for it is "bacterial SSU rRNA". It matches the Rfam family "Bacterial small subunit ribosomal RNA", at positions 526 to 896 of the family's 1533-position model. The record is from RNAcentral.